RNAcentral lists this ribosomal RNA (253 nucleotides) under uncultured bacterium. RNAcentral describes it as "partial 16S ribosomal RNA". It matches the Rfam family "Bacterial small subunit ribosomal RNA", at positions 524 to 776 of the family's 1533-position model. The record is from RNAcentral.
UACAGAGGUCCCGAGCGUUGUUCGGAUUCACUGGGCGUAAAGGGUGCGUAGGUGGCGAGGUAAGUCGGAUGUGAAAGCUCGGAGCUCAACUCCGAAAUGGCAUUGGAAACUACCUUGCUCGAGGGUUGGAGGGGGGACUGGAAUGCUUGGUGUAGCAGUGAAAUGCGUAGAUAUCAAGUGGAACACCAGUGGCGAAGGCGAGUCCCUGGACAACUCCUGACACUGAGGCACGAAAGCUAGGGGAGCAAACAGG